RNAcentral lists this ribosomal RNA (473 nucleotides) under uncultured bacterium. RNAcentral's name for it is "bacterial SSU rRNA". It matches the Rfam family "Bacterial small subunit ribosomal RNA", at positions 29 to 490 of the family's 1533-position model. The record is from RNAcentral.
AAUGAACGCUGGCGGCGUGCUUAACACAUGCAAGUCGUACGAGAAAUCCUUGGCUUGCCAGGGAGAGUAAAGUGGCGCACGGGUGAGUAUCGCGUGGGUAAUCUACCCUUGGAUUCAGGAUAACACUUCGAAAGGGGUGCUAAUACUGGAUAACAUCCUGAUGGUUUUGGCCAUAAGGAUCAAAGAUAGCCUCUACAUGUAAGCUAUUGUUCAGGGAUGAGCCCGCGUACCAUUAGCUAGUUGGUGGGGUAAGAGCCUACCAAGGCGACGAUGGUUAGCUGGUCUGAGAGGGUGACCGGCCACACUGGAACUGAGAUACGGUCCAGACUCCUACGGGAGGCAGCAGUGGGGAAUAUUGCACAAAUUGGGGCGCAAGCCUGAUGCAGCAACGCCGCGUGAGGGGAUGAAGGCCUUCGGUUGUAAACCUCUUUUAGCAGGGAAGAAGCGAAAGUAGACGGUACCUGCAGAAAAAG